Molecule: non-coding RNA, 73 nt
Organism: Nicotiana attenuata
Lineage: Eukaryota; Viridiplantae; Streptophyta; Magnoliopsida; Solanales; Solanaceae
Source: Rfam
ACUCUCGUAGCUUAAUUGGUUAGAGCGUCCACUUAGUAAGUGGAGGUUUUGAGUUUGACUCUCAACAAAAAUA